CAGUCGCCGCGGUAAUACGAAGGGUGCAAGCGUUAAUCGGAAUUACUGGGCGUAAAGCGCGCGUAGGUGGUUUGUUAAGUUGGAGGUGAAAUCCCCGGGCUCAACCUGGGAACUGCCUCCAAAACUGGCUGACUAGAGUACGGUAGAGGGUGGUGGAAUUUCCUGUGUAGCGGUGAAAUGCGUAGAUAUAGGAAGGAACACCAGUGGCGAAGGCGACCACCUGGACUGAUACUGACACUGAGGUGCGAAAGCGUGGGGAGCAAACAGGAUUAGAUACCCCUGUAGUCCCUGUCUCUUAUAC
Molecule: ribosomal RNA, 301 nt
Filed under: uncultured bacterium
Lineage: Bacteria
Description: partial 16S ribosomal RNA
Rfam family: Bacterial small subunit ribosomal RNA
Source: RNAcentral